This 410-nucleotide ribosomal RNA is filed under the name uncultured bacterium. RNAcentral's name for it is "bacterial SSU rRNA". It matches the Rfam family "Bacterial small subunit ribosomal RNA", at positions 8 to 422 of the family's 1533-position model. The record is from RNAcentral.
AGAGUUUGAUCCUGGCUCAGAUUGAACGCUGGCGGCAUGCCUUACACAUGCAAGUCGAACGGCAGCGGACCUUCGGGUGCCGGCGAGUGGCGAACGGGUGAGUAACGUAUCGGAACGUACCUUUCAGUGGGGGAUAACGUAGCGAAAGUUACGCUAAUACCGCAUAUUCUGUGAGCAGGAAAGCAGGGGAUCGCAAGACCUUGCGCUGAUUGAGCGGCCGAUAUCAGAUUAGCUAGUUGGUGAGGUAAAGGCUCACCAAGGCGACGAUCUGUAGCGGGUCUGAGAGGAUGAUCCGCCACACUGGAACUGAGACACGGUCCAGACUCCUACGGGAGGCAGCAGUGGGGAAUUUUGGACAAUGGGGGCAACCCUGAUCCAGCCAUACCGCGUGAGUGAAGAAGGCCUUCGGG